RNAcentral lists this ribosomal RNA (253 nucleotides) under uncultured bacterium. RNAcentral describes it as "partial 16S ribosomal RNA". It matches the Rfam family "Bacterial small subunit ribosomal RNA", at positions 524 to 776 of the family's 1533-position model. The record is from RNAcentral.
UACGUAGGUGGCAAGCGUUGUCCGGAAUUAUUGGGCGUAAAGCGCGCGCAGGCGGCUUCUUAAGUCUGAUGUGAAAUCUUGCGGCUCAACCGCAAGCGGUCAUUGGAAACUGGGAGGCUUGAGUGCAGAAGAGGAGAGUGGAAUUCCACGUGUAGCGGUGAAAUGCGUAGAUAUAUGGAAGAACACCAGUGGCGAAGGCGGCUGUCUGGUUUGUAACUGACGCUGAGGCGCGAAAGCGUGGGGAGCAAACAGG